Molecule: unclassified non-coding RNA, 318 nt
Filed under: Hevea brasiliensis (rubber tree)
Lineage: Eukaryota; Viridiplantae; Streptophyta; Magnoliopsida; Malpighiales; Euphorbiaceae
Source: RNAcentral
GUUUUUCACUGCCACUUCAAUUUUGUCAUCUGUUGUCUUCCCUAGUUCAUUCAUAAUGUUCUUAUUCAAGUUCUCUGCUGAAAACUCUGCAGCUUUCACUCCUCCAUGACCAUCAAAUAUACCAAAAAAACCCUGUUUGGAAUCUCCUUUAAGAUUAACCAUUGCAGAGUGACGAUCCUCCAUUGCACCUUUUCUCCCCCUUUUACAGCAAACAGAAUAUCCAUCACCCUCAACCUCAACCAAAUCCGCUACCCCAGCAGGAGUCACCGGAAAAUUCCCGAAACUCAUCGAAGCUACCGGAAGAUCCAACCUAGUCGG